AGAGUUUGAUCAUGGCUCAGAUUGAACGCUGGCGGCAUGCCUUACACAUGCAAGUCGAACGGCAGCACGGACUUCGGUCGGGUGGCGAGUGGCGAACGGGUGAGUAAUACAUCGGAACGUGUCCUGGAGUGGGGGAUAGCCCGGCGAACGCCGGAUUAAUACCGCAUACGCUCUGAGGUGGAAAGCGGGGGAUCUUCGGACCUCGCGCUCAAGGGGCGGCCGAUGGCAGAUUAGCUAGUUGGUGGGGUAAAGGCCUACCAAGGCGACGAUCUGUAGCUGGUCUGAGAGGACGACCAGCCACACUGGGACUGAGACACGGCCCAGACUCCUACGGGAGGCAGCAGUGGGGAAUUUUGGACAAUGGGCGCAAGCCUGAUCCAGCAAUGCCGCGUGUGUGAAGAAGGCCUUCGGGUUGUAAAGCACUUUUGUCCGGAAAGAAAACCUCUGCCCUAAUACGGCGGGGGGAUGACGGUACCGGAAGAAUAAGCACCGGCUAACUACGUGCCAGCAGCCGCGGUAAUACGUAGGGUGCAAGCGUUAAUCGGAAUUACUGGGCGUAAAGCGUGCGCAGGCGGUCCGUUAAGACAGAUGUGAAAUCCCCGGGCUUAACCUGGGAACUGCAUUUGUGACUGGCGGACUCGAGUAUGGCAGAGGGGGGUAGAAUUCCACGUAGCAGUGAAAUGCGUAGAGAUGUGGAGGAAUACCGAUGGCGAAGGCAGCCCCCUGGGCCAAUACUGACGCUCAUGCACGAAAGCGUGGGGAGCAAACAGGAUUAGAUACCCUAGUAGUCC
RNAcentral lists this ribosomal RNA (791 nucleotides) under uncultured bacterium. Its description in RNAcentral is "bacterial SSU rRNA". It matches the Rfam family "Bacterial small subunit ribosomal RNA", at positions 8 to 796 of the family's 1533-position model. The record is from RNAcentral.